RNAcentral lists this ribosomal RNA (301 nucleotides) under uncultured bacterium. Its description in RNAcentral is "partial 16S ribosomal RNA". It matches the Rfam family "Bacterial small subunit ribosomal RNA", at positions 509 to 807 of the family's 1533-position model. The record is from RNAcentral.
CAGUCGCCACGGUAAUACAGAGGGUGCAAGCGUUAAUCGGAAUUACUGGGCGUAAAGCGCGCGUAGGUGGUUUGUUAAGUUGGAUGUGAAAUCCCCGGGCUCAACCUGGGAACUGCAUCCAAAACUGGCAAGCUAGAGUAUGGUAGAGGGUGGUGGAAUUUCCUGUGUAGCGGUGAAAUGCAUAGAUAUAGGAAGGAACACCAGUGGCGAAGGCGACCACCUGGACUGAUACUGACACUGAGGUGCGAAAGCGUGGGGAGCAAACAGGAUUAGAUACCCGUGUAGUCCCUGUCUCUUAUAC